AUGGGCGGAAGCCUGAUCCAGCAACGCCGCGUGAGGGAUGACGGCCUUCGGGUUGUAAACCUCUUUCAGCACAGACGAAGCGCAAGUGACGGUAUGUGCAGAAGAAGGACCGGCCAACUUCGUGCCAGCAGCCGCGGUAAUACGUAGGGUCCGAGCGUUGUCCGGAAUUAUUGGGCGUAAAGGGCUCGUAGGCGGUCUGUCGCGUCGGGAGUGAAAACCAGGUGCUUAACACCUGGCCUGCUUUCGAUACGGGCAGACUAGAGGUACUCAGGGGAGAAUGGAAUUCCUGGUGUAGCGGUGAAAUGCGCAGAUAUCAGGAGGAACACCGGUGGCGAAGGCACUUCUCUGGGAGUAUACUGACGCUGAGGAGCGAAAGUGUGGGGAGCGAACAGGAUUAGAUACCCUGGUAGUCCACACCGUAAACGUUGGGCGCUAGGUGUGGGAUCCAUUCCACGGGUUCAGUGCCGCAGCUAACGCAUUAAGCGCCCCGCCUGG
RNAcentral lists this ribosomal RNA (495 nucleotides) under Nocardioides luteus. RNAcentral describes it as "bacterial SSU rRNA". It matches the Rfam family "Bacterial small subunit ribosomal RNA", at positions 371 to 876 of the family's 1533-position model. The record is from RNAcentral. Lineage: Bacteria; Bacillati; Actinomycetota; Actinomycetes; Propionibacteriales; Nocardioidaceae.